CCAGGAGCGUGCCCAUGAGUGAACUAAAGAUGUGACCUUUUAAAUAUCGUGUCUCUGAAGGUCUCACACUGUGGGUCGAAUCCUGGGAAAAUGUCAUGUCAACUGGUAAACAGCCUCACCAGUACAAUUUACUCUAUUUCCACCAAUAGGGGAAAGCGUUUGCUUGGGCUGUGAAUUGUCUCCUCUUUCCACGGAGCCUCGCAUAGGAAACACAAGAAACAGAGGUGAAGGACAGUUAGUUGUGCCAUUGGAUUUUCGUGGAGAAGUAAAUCAAUAUGAAGAAUGGCAAGUAAAAAAAAAAAAGGAAAUUUUUAACAUUCACAAUGGAUUGUAUUGGUAAGGGUCUCUCAAUUGGAGAAUGUUUGAAAAGUUAUAGAGCUUGAAAAGAAAAUUCUAGCUUCUAUAUCCAAUUAAUCGUUCAUUCAACAUUCAUUAAUCAAAUAAUUAUUGAGCCCCUACUAUGGGUCAGGCAUGGUUUCAGGUAAUUUGAAAUACAUGAGUGAACCAAAUGAACUAAUUCCAUUAGUAAUUUCUAUGAUAUUCCAGAAGACACUAAACCUAUAGAAAGGGGAAACAGUAGAGUAGGAUAGUGGAGGAGAGAAGACAAAAGUAGUUCUAAUUUUGAAUAGGGUGGUCUGGGAAGGCUUCAUGGAACCCAGGUAAUUUGAGCAAAAAGUUGAAGGAGGUGAGGGAUUUAGUUCUGCGGAUACCCGGAGGAGAGGCUUCCUGACAGAGGGAGAAGUUAGAGCAAAAGUGCGGCUGGGGCAUUCCACUGUUUUUUUGGCGGCCUAGGAUCACGGGGAUGAGGGAGAAUUCUAAUUGGGGUCACCUCAAGUAGGUCAUGGUGACCAUCUACAGGGGCUUUGGCUUUUCCUUGGAAGGAAUUAGGGAGUCAUAUCAGGGUAUUGGACAGAAGCCUGACAUGAUCUGACAUGUUUUCAAAGGGUCGUGUGUUUUGAGUACGUUUUGGGGGGGACUAUAUCAGAUACAUAGAGAGUCUAUAAUCUAGGUGAGAGAUAAUGGCUUGGAUUAGUAUUGCAGCAAUG
RNAcentral lists this long non-coding RNA (1046 nucleotides) under Felis catus (domestic cat). Its description in RNAcentral is "lncRNA (ENSFCAG00000040306.2)". The record is from RNAcentral. Lineage: Eukaryota; Metazoa; Chordata; Mammalia; Carnivora; Felidae.